This 30-nucleotide non-coding RNA is filed under the name Mus musculus (house mouse). The record is from RNAcentral. Lineage: Eukaryota; Metazoa; Chordata; Mammalia; Rodentia; Muridae.
UACCAGGACCAUGAUGAUUUUAUCACAAUA